UUGGGUUUAAAGGGAGGGUAGAUGGAUGUUUAAGUUAGUUGUGAAAGUUUGAGGAUUAAAUGUAAAAUUGCAGGUUGAUACUGGAUAUCUUGAGUGCAGUGAGGGCAGGCGGAAUUCGUGGUGUAGCGGUGAAAUGCUUAGAUAUCACGAAGAACUCCGAUUGCGAAGGCAGCCUGCUAAGCUGCAACUGACAUUGAGGCUCGAAAGUGUGGGUAUCAAACAGGAUUAGAUACCCUGGUAGUCCACACGGUAAACGAUGAAUACUCGCUGUUUGCGAUAUACAGCAAGCGGCCAAGCGAAAGCGUUAAGUAUUCCACCUGGGGAGUACGCCGGCAACGGUGAAACUCAAAGGAAUUGACGGGGGCCCGCACAAGCGGAGGAACAUGUGGUUUAAUUCGAUGAUACGCGAGGAACCUUACCCGGGCUUAAAUUGCAGAUGAAUUACGGUGAAAGCCGUAAGCCGCAAGGCGUCUGUGAAGGUGCUGCAUGGUUGUCGUCAGCUCGUGCCGUGAGGUGUCGGCUUAAGUGCCAUAACGAGCGCAACCCUUGUUGUCAGCUACUAACAGGUUUCGCUGAGGACUCUGACAAGACUGCCAUCGUAAGAUGUGAGGAAGGUGGGGAUGACGUCAAAUCAGCACGGCCCUUACGUCCGGGGCUACACACGUGUUACAAUGGGGGGUACAGAGGGCCGCUACCACGCGAGUGGAUGCCAAUCCCCAAAACCUCUCUCAGUUCGGACUGGAGUCUGCAACCCGACUCCACGAAGCUGGAUUCGCUAGUAAUCGCGCAUCAGCCACGGCGCGGUGAAUACGUUCCCGGGCCUUGUACACACCGCCCGUCAAGCCAUGGGAGCCGGGGGUACCUGAAGUGCGUAACCGCGAGGAGCGCCCUAGGGUAAAACUGGUGACUGGC
RNAcentral lists this ribosomal RNA (912 nucleotides) under uncultured organism. RNAcentral describes it as "SSU rRNA". It matches the Rfam family "Bacterial small subunit ribosomal RNA", at positions 554 to 1479 of the family's 1533-position model. The record is from RNAcentral.